UGCCAUUUUUAUCAGUCACUGUGUGUUUAGAAAAUCGCAGGACAGAUAUGAAUGGCAUA
RNAcentral lists this microRNA precursor (59 nucleotides) under Magallana gigas (Pacific oyster). Its description in RNAcentral is "Mgi-Mir-1984-P2_pre stem-loop". The record is from RNAcentral. Lineage: Eukaryota; Metazoa; Mollusca; Bivalvia; Ostreida; Ostreidae.